Conger conger (European conger) is the source of this 474-nucleotide long non-coding RNA. RefSeq lists it as uncharacterized. The transcript is spliced from 3 exons. The record is from RefSeq and is a predicted model, not a curated record. NCBI's taxonomy places the organism in Eukaryota, Metazoa, Chordata, Actinopteri, Anguilliformes, Congridae.
CGAACAGUCAGCUUGCCACUACUACACACGCCGGCUGGACCUCUCGCUUGCCAAGUGAGGCUUGUGGCAGUUCGUCUGCGUUUGUAGAGGGUGCCGUUGAGAAAUCACCAACCACACUGGGACGGCAUCCCGGCCAAAAGUCCUGACCUUUUCUUAUGCGUGGACGGAUAAGGAGGAAAUAAAUUUACGCUGCACAGCUAACAACUAAUGUCUUCGGGGUUGAACAUCUAUGUGGAGCCGCAAACAUAAGGGGGGAAAAAGGAACUUUCUGUGACCAACAAGACUGCCAAUCGAAGUGAAUGUCAGCUAAGAGAUAGGGCCUAUUCACUGGCUCAGGACCCUGGCACAGGACUCCAAACGGCACGGCAUAUUUGGGGGGCCAUGACCCUGGAGAUGUGCGACCCGGCCCACAAGGCAGAUACACCUCUUCCGGAGCCCUCCCACCCUGUGGUGAAUGGAGGGGUUGCUGGCUCA